This 315-nucleotide ribosomal RNA is filed under the name uncultured eukaryote. RNAcentral's name for it is "partial 18S ribosomal RNA". It matches the Rfam family "Eukaryotic small subunit ribosomal RNA", at positions 1470 to 1796 of the family's 1831-position model. The record is from RNAcentral.
CCCUUAGAUGUCCUGGGCCGCACGCGUGCUACACUGACACUUACACCGAGUUUUUCCGGCCCCGAGAGGUGGCUGGUAAUCAGUAAUAGGUGUCGUGAUGGGGAUAGAUCUUUGGAAUUAUUGAUCUUGAACGAGGAAUGCCUAGUAAUCGUAAGUCAUCAGCCUGCGAUGAUUACGUCCCUGCCCUUUGUACACACCGCCCGUCGCUCCUACCGAUUUCGAGUGGUCCGGUGAACCUUUCGGACAGAGAGAGUCUCGUACAAUCUCUGAAAGUCAAGUAAACCACAUCACUUAGAGGAAGGAGAAGUCGUAACA